Oryctolagus cuniculus (rabbit) is the source of this 6159-nucleotide non-coding RNA. The record is from RefSeq and is a predicted model, not a curated record. Lineage: Eukaryota; Metazoa; Chordata; Mammalia; Lagomorpha; Leporidae.
ACUGUAACUUGGAACCAUUCUGGGAUCUAAUAGUGCCCUGGAAUUUUAAGCAUGUGAGGAGGAUAAUUGAGAAACUCCAUUAUGUUUGCCUCCCCCAGUUCCUCAGAGAGCAGUUACAGACACGUCUGGCACCAUCUAAAACCCAGAGCCCUUCACACUUUGGGCAGAGUCCAAGAUUUCUAAACCUCUGUGUCCUGGUCACAGACCAUGAAUGCGGCUUGUGUCUGGGAGCAAAGUAGAAAGCGUGGAAAGAGAAGUGGGGGGGCCUUUGAGUCGGUGACGGGACCCCCCACCCCAGACCUGGAAGGGGCAAAAACAAUGACCGCUCUCUUCACGCCCCCGGAUUUCUGGAAUUCAGGUACAGAAAACGAAGAUGCUCUCUGCGGGUCUAGAACUGGAUUCUUCCGCUUCUUCCGGGUCUCCGCCCCUCCCCUCGGGCCACCCCCAGCUCCUCUGUCCCCUCCCUAAUGCUAACGUCGAAGAGAGGUGUGGAGUCCGCUGGAACCUCUGCCCCGCGCUCCGAAUUCCAGGAGGUGCAUUUGCGGGCGUGCCCGUUCCUAGAAUCCACUGCCUGCUGGCGUGGGCUGGAGGUUGGAGGCUUCGUUCAUUAAAAGUCCGGGCUCGUGUAACGAAUCCGUCGCUCUAAGGAGCCCGAGCCCGAGCUGCAUGAUAAAAUCCCCCGGCUGCUGCGAGACGGAGGUUUUGCCGUGGUCUCUGGGACACGAGACAGCUGUCUUGUCCGCUUCAUCCCCACACACAGCCCCAUCCGCUGCCGAUAGGACUCUGCAGAGCCCAUUUCAACAUCAGAUUGGAAGGGAAUGGAAAGUUGUAAGCAGAAAUGAAGAGAAACUCCACUGGAAUUAAUUUCGUUUUCUCGGCAGCUUGCUUUGCGGAGGCUAAAUUUAUUCAGCUGAGAGUGUUGAGGCAGUGGGUGGGGGUGGGGUGAUGUUUACCAGCCCUCCUUGGUCACAGCCCUCAGACUCAGCUCCAGGGGAAAUCAAACGGCCAGCCAUUGUGUAAUGAGAAGUGAACUGCACGGGGAAAACAGACAGGGCUGGUGCACACCCGCAUCACUCUGCUAAUUUACUUCUCGGCUUUGUGUUGCCUGCUGUCCUGGUGCACCCCGAGCCGCAAACUCACUGCAAUCCAAUAGCUUGCAUGUUCUUCUCUUACACAUGGUAGGCUCCUUCAGAGCCAGAAUCACGGCUUGCUUCUGUGUAUCCUGGGCCCCAGUGUAGAACAGUGAUGGAGAGCAUGAACAAACACCCAGGCAGAAUUCCCAGGGACAAGGGAGUAAAACAUCAGAGAAAGUGUUUUCGAAAAUUAGAAAAAUCAUGCACGUGAGAAGUCCUUGUCCAUUGCCGAACAUUUCAAAUAGUGAAGGAAAUCAGAAUUUUCAGAGGACCGUGUGCAUGGUCGAAAAUCCCUUUUUUCUGCUUUUAUUUGUGCGAGGCUGAGUUUUGGGUCACCUUGCCCCGGCUUCAGUGCCCACUUGUUGGGUCAAAUGCCAGUGGAGGUGUGGCUGUAAAGGCGUUUUGAAGACACGUGGGAUUAAUACUUAAGCGAGUAGACUGAGUAGAGCACAUUGUCUUCUACCGGGCUGGGCCUCAUCCGAACAGCGUGGAAGCCUUACGAGCAACACCUGACGCCCUGUGCGGAAGCAGGGGCUGUGCCUCUGGCUGCCUCUGGACAUGAGCGGCACCAUCAGCUCUUCCCUGGGAGGCUCUCCACCCCGCAGACUUCAAGCUUACCCCAACCGCUACUGGCCUGCUUGCUGGUUCUUAAACACCAAGCAUGUUCCUGCUACAGAGUCUGCACUUGGCUGUUCCCCACGCAGGAAUUCUUUGCCUCCAGAGCACUCCGUUGCCCAUUCCUUCUGCUGAGUAAGUCACAGCCGCCGUGUCGCUUCUUCAGAGAGGUCAUCUCUGCCAGCAUGGUGCCCGCUGUUCUUCAUGUGCUUACCUGGCAUUAUUUCACGUUCACAGCAUCUACAAGGUCAAUCUCGGGGACAGUAGGGCCAUUGCACCUGUCUUUCCUGAUGACGCCUCCUGUCUCUGCACCCUCCUUUCCCCAUUCCAAGUGGACUUUUCUUGCAGUGAGAUGGGAGGUAAGAAAUCCUACCUGCUGUGGUUGCUAUCUUGUUCAUGGCAUGCAUUUUGAAGCUUAGGUCUUCAAGGCAAGAAGUGAGUGUGUUAGUAUGCGCUAGCAGGUUUGAGGCACAGGGUAAGAGGCGGUGAUAGGGAGAAGGCUCCCUCCCAUGCUCCUUCCAGUCACGACAGCUGGGUUACUACCUUCUCCAAAGGAAACACAGCCUUAAAGUGCAAGUGCUGUUUUAGUUGGCUGGCGAGUGGCCUUGAAAAUAAUACUGUGAUUGUCACCUGCCUCCUUCCCUGUCUCUGUUAACCUUUUGUCCAAUGGGAAACACACAGGAGUCCCCCAGCCUCACUUCCAGUUUGUGUUUACAGAGAAAUCUGUGUGCACACUUGCGUCAAGCUCAGUGCACAAACAAGAGGAUGUGAGAAAGCCUGCCCCUGCCUAGAAAUGUGGUUUUAUACAGAGUCCCCAGGAGACUAACCUGGGAGGAAAUUCUACCUCAGGUGCACUUGGGCAAUAGGGCACCUCCAGGUGUUCAGGCCUUGAGGCUGUCAGCCCUCUAGGACUGACCACAGUGCUGAGGGGGCUGGGUGAACUGUGGCCGUCAGUUUCAUAUCCUACAGAGUGCUGUCCAUUGUCUGCAGGGGUGUGGCACCUUGGGCCUGGCCCCGCUCUUUACCUUCCUUUGACUCUGAGACCAUGGAAAUCUUUUUGGUACUGUGGCUUAGAAUACCAGGGACUAAGACUGCUUCCCCUGGGACCUGGCCCUGAGCCCUUGUCCCUGGGGCUCCAUCCCUUCCUCACUCAGUUCAGCCAGGGCCCUGCUCUACCCGCCCCAUAGCCUUCUCUUCUCCUGGAGCCAGGGGCUAUCUCUCCUCGCCUUAUUCUUCUCAGUCUUUCUGAGAAUGAGCCCCUACAGUUACCCUACCCUUGUCUCUCUGCAAGCUUCUGUGUAGGUCUGCAUUCCACAUUUGGGCAAAGCUGCCUCCGAGACAGUGGGGCAGCCAGGAUGCCAUGAGCUGGGAUGGGGGUUGCAGAGGAGAUAAGAAAAAACAGACAGAUGGAGAGAAUACGAGUUAGACACUUAAUACAAGGGAGUAUUUCGUACAAGUCUUGUCCCUGUGCCACGCUUCCUCAAGGCUAGAAUUCCCAUCACACCGGGAGUGUCUUCUCGCACUGGGAUGUAAAGGUGAGUUUCCCAGAGCUAGGGCCUGCCGGCCUGACGUCACAGGUGGCUGUUCUGCAUGUCAGUCUCAAUAUGAGUCAGGUUCCAGACUCAUCCUGGUGGGGAGGAAGGGAGUCUUAUUUCAAAGACACCUACUCCUGAGGUGGCUGAGUUCAUCUGCGAAUCCAUGUCCUCCUGAGCUUUCUCUUUGGUUGGACGCACAGGUGUGCAAUAGUCAAAUAACUGGACGUGAGUAACUUGCCUAAGCACACAGUCAAUGGGGUUUAAAUGCUCCUUUUACAUGAUCCUUUCAGCUUGUAGCCUCGCUGCUAUCCUUGAUUCAGGAUGGAACUUUUCUAUGAGUAGGCAAGUUACAGCAUUAUCUAUUUCUGCAAUCUAAAGGGCUCAAAAAUCUCACCCCAAAGAACCAGAACUCUUCUCUAUCUACCUAACACUCCUAUCAGAAAUUCUACUAGUUCACUGUUUGUUUAUUUCCAACUGGCAAUGUCUCUGGGAUAGUGAAUGUAUCUGUUUAAAAAGGCAAGUAUCAUCCUUGGGCAAGGGAAUGCUUUUACGUGACAUGAUUUUAUCUGGUUGCAUCUAAUUGGAAAGGAGCAACUAAUGUCCUGACUCUGCUAAUGUUCUGAGGAAUGUGCAGAAUAAUGACUGGGAAACUGGGGUGUAAAUGUUAUACCCGCAGUCUUGUGCUUGCAGCUAUCUAAUGAGGCCCGAUAUCGCUUUUUAAAGGAGCCAUAAUUGCAGUCAAAGACAAAAUCAACUAUUGGGAUUGCAUCAAAUUGAGAAGUUUCUGUACUGCAAAAGAAAGUCAGGAGAGUGAAGAGACAACCGACAGAAUGGGAAAAUAUAUUUGCAAACUAUGCAACAGAUAAAGGGUUAAUAACCAGAAUCUACAAAGAGAUCAAGAAACUCCACAACAACAAAACAAACAACCCACUUAAGAGAUGGGCCAAGGACCUCAAUAGACAUUUUUCAAAAGAGGAAAUCCAAAUGGCCAACAGGCACAUGAAAAAAUGUUCAAGGUCACUAGCAAUCAGGGAAAUGCAAAUCAAAACCACAAUGAGGUUUCACCUCACCCCGGUUAGAAUGGCUCACAUACAGAAAUCUAACAACAACAGAUGCUGGCGAGGACGUGGGGAAAAAGGGACACUAACCCACUGUUGGUGGGAAUGCAAACUGGUCAAGCCACUAUGGAAGUCAGUCUGGAGAUUCCUCAGAAACCUGAAUAUAACCCUACCGUUCGACCCAGCCAUCCCACUCCUUGGAAUUUACCCAAAGGAAAUGAAAUUGGCAAACAAAAAAGCGGUCUGCACCCUAAUGUUUAUUGCAGCACAAUUCACAAUAGCCAAGACCUGGAACCAACCUAAAUGCCCAUCAACGGUAGACUGGAUAAAGAAAUUAUGGGAUAUGUACUCUUUAGAAUACUAUACCGCAGUAAGAAACAACGAAAUCCAGUCAUUUGCAACAAAAUGGAGGAAUCUGGAACACAUCAUGCUGAGUGAAAUAAGCCAGUCCCAAAGGGACAAAUACCAUAUGUUCUCCCUGAUUGGUGACAACUGACUGAACACCAAAAAGGAAACCUGUUAAAAUGAAAAGGACACUAUGCGAAAUGGUGACUUGAUCAGCAUAGCCCUGAGUGUUAAUGAACAACUUAAUACAUUAUCCCUCUUAGUAGUUUUUUUUUGUUUGUUCUACUUAAUGUGACUGGUUUAAUUCUGUAAUUAAUACACAGUUAUUCUUAAGUGUUGAAAUUUAACUGAAAUGUGAUCCCUGUUAAACAUAAGAGUGGGGAUAAGAGAGGGAAGAGAUGUACAAUUUGCGACAUGCUCAGGCUGACUUGCCCCAAAUGGUAGAGUUAGAAACAUACCAGGGGACUCCAAUUUAAUCCCAUCAAGGUGGCAUGUACCAAUGCCAUCUCACUAGUCCAAGUGAUCAAUUUCAGUUCACAAUUGAUCAUAGUGAAAGGACUAAGAGUCAAAGGGAUCACAUAAACAAGACCAGUGUCUGCUAAUACUAACUGAUAGAAUAAAUAAAGGGGAGAGUGAUCCAACAUGGGAAGUGAGAUACUCAGCAGACUCAUAGAAUGGCGGAUGUCCUAAACAGCACUCUGGCCUCAGAAUCAGCCCUAAAGGCAUUCCGUUCUGGCUGAAAAGCCCAUGAGAGUAUUUCAGGCAUGGAAAGCCAAGACACUCUGGGAAAAAAAACAAAAAAACAAAAACAACACCUAAAUGAAAGAUCUCUGUGAGUGAGAUCCCAGUGGAAAGAACAGGUCUUCAAAGAAGGAGGUACCUUUCUCUGAAGGGAGGAGAGAACCUCCACUUUGACUAUGACCUUGUCUAAGCAAGAUAAGAGUUGGAGAACUCAAGGGGCUUCCAUAGCCUUGGAAACUCAUGACUAGUGCAUAGGGAGAUUACUGAUGCCAUAAACAGGAGUGUCAAUUUGUAAAGUCAACAACAGGAGUCACUGUUCACUUACUCCUCAUGUAGGAUCUCUGUCCUUAAUGUGCUGUACAUUGAGGCUUAAUGCUAUAACGAGUACUCAAACAGUAUAUUUCACUUUGUGUUUCUAUGGGGGUGCAAACUGUUGAAAUCUUUACUUAAUGUAUACUAAACUGAUCUUCUGUUAAAAAAAAGAAGAAGAAAUUAGCAAUUCCCAACUUGACUCUCGCUGGGAUUAAACAUAACAGUAGGUCUGAUCUGAUUUCAUCAUCAUUUAAAAAAUCAUCUAUUAUUUUUCACUUUAUGUUUCUGUGUGGGAGCAAACUGUUGAAAUCUUUACUUAAUGUAUGCUAAACUGAUCUUCUGUAGAUAAAGAGAAUUGAAAAUGAAUCCUCAUGUGAAUGGAAGGGGAGAGGGAAUGGGAAAGGGGAGGGUUGCGGGUGG